GUGCCAGCAGCCGCGGUAAGACGUAGGAGGCGAGCGUUGUCCGGAUUCAUUGGGCGUAAAGAGCGCGCAGGCGGCUUGGUAAGUCGGAUGUGAAAAUCCGAGGCUCAACCUCGGACGUGCAUCCGAUACUGCUCGGCUAGAGGUAGGUAGGGGAGAUCGGAAUUCCUGGUGUAGCGGUGAAAUGCGCAGAUAUCAGGAGGAACACCGGUGGCGAAGGCGGAUCUCUGGGCCUUACCUGACGCUCAGGCGCGAAAGCUAGGGGAGCGAACUGGAUUAGAAACCCUCGUAGUCC
This 292-nucleotide ribosomal RNA is filed under the name uncultured bacterium. RNAcentral's name for it is "partial 16S ribosomal RNA". It matches the Rfam family "Bacterial small subunit ribosomal RNA", at positions 505 to 796 of the family's 1533-position model. The record is from RNAcentral.